This 474-nucleotide ribosomal RNA is filed under the name uncultured bacterium. RNAcentral describes it as "SSU rRNA". It matches the Rfam family "Bacterial small subunit ribosomal RNA", at positions 26 to 518 of the family's 1533-position model. The record is from RNAcentral.
AGGACGAACGCUGGCGGCGUGCUUAACACAUGCAAGUCGAGCGAGGCUCCUCCUUCGGGAGGAUGUCCUAGCGGCGAACGGGUGAGUAACACGUGGGCAACCUGCCCCUAGCACUGGGAUAACCCCGGGAAACCGGGCUAAUACCGGAUAUCACUUCGGAAGGCAUCUUCUGAAGUUGAAAGGGGUUACUGGCUAGGGAUGGGCCCGCGGCCUAUCAGCUUGUUGGUGGGUAACGCCUACCAAGGCGACGACGGGUAGCCGGCCUGAGAGGGUGACCGGCCACACUGGGACUGAGACACGGCCCAGACUCCUACGGGAGGCAGCAGUGGGAAUAUUGGACAAUGGGCGAAAGCCUGAUCCAGCAACGCCGCGUGAGGGAUGACGGCCUUCGGGUUGUAAACCUCUUUCAGCAGGGACGAAGCGCAAGUGACGGUACCUGCAGAAGAGCACGGCCAACUACGUGCCAGCAGCCGC